GAUCACGUGGCUUUACAGGGCUAUAUUUAGCCGAUUGUUUGCAUUCAGUGGGUCAGUUGAAUACUAGUUACCAAUUCACUGUUAUACAAAGAUGUCUGGGGGAACGUACAAAGAAGAGUUUGGUAAAAAUAUGUUUACAUAUUGUGAAGCCAGGGUACCGUCAUUCUCCCGAGCUCACCCUAUCAUACCCAGAUUGUAUGUACAGGAAUGGAAAACCGAUAUGAAGAAUAGAGAAUUGAUUAUCAAAAAUGCUCACCCUGGUAGAAUUCCUCAUUAUGAACACGAUGAAAA
Long non-coding RNA from Patella vulgata (common limpet), 291 nucleotides. RefSeq lists it as uncharacterized. Lineage: Eukaryota; Metazoa; Mollusca; Gastropoda; Patellidae. The record is from RefSeq and is a predicted model, not a curated record. The transcript is spliced from 3 exons.